CCUACGGGUGGCAGCAGUGGGGAAUAUUGGACAAUGGGCGAAAGCCUGAUCCAGCCAUGCCGCGUGUGUAAAGAAGGCCUUCGGGUUGUAAAGCACUUUCAGUGGGGAAGAAAGCCUUGGGGCUAAUACCCUCGAGGAAGGACAUCACCCACAGAAGAAGCACCGUCUAACUCCGUGCCAGCAGCCGCGGUAAUACGGAGGGUGCGAGCGUUAAUCGGAAUUACUGGGCGUAAGGCGCGCGUAGGCGGUCUGAUAAGCCGGUUGUGAAAGCCCCGGGCUCAACCUGGGAACGGCAUCCGGAACUGUCAGGCUAGAGUGCAGGAGAGGAAGGUAGAAUUCCCGGUGUAGCGGUGAAAUGCGUAGAGAUCGGGAGGAAUACCAGUGGCGAAGGCGGCCUUCUGGACUGACACUGACGCUGAGGUGCGAAAGCGUGGGUAGCAAACAGGAUUAGAUACCCUUGUAGUC
Molecule: ribosomal RNA, 465 nt
Filed under: Vreelandella stevensii
Lineage: Bacteria; Pseudomonadati; Pseudomonadota; Gammaproteobacteria; Oceanospirillales; Halomonadaceae
Description: partial 16S ribosomal RNA
Rfam family: Bacterial small subunit ribosomal RNA
Source: RNAcentral